RNAcentral lists this non-coding RNA (184 nucleotides) under Bacillus sp. FJAT-50079. Its description in RNAcentral is "6S / SsrS RNA". It matches the Rfam family "6S / SsrS RNA". From Rfam's summary of the family: E. coli 6S RNA was the first non coding RNA to be sequenced, but its function was unknown until recently. It consists of 184 nucleotides that fold into an extended hairpin structure with a large single-stranded internal bulge. The record is from Rfam by way of RNAcentral. Lineage: Bacteria; Bacillati; Bacillota; Bacilli; Caryophanales; Bacillaceae.
UACAAGCUGCGAUGUACGUAUGACAAUUAAGUUUUAACUCUAACUUUAGUAUAGGGAGUUUUACAUUGAGACUGGAAUGUCAGGCCUUCUAUGUAGAGGACGACAGGAACGUUUCUGCAAACACCCACUUUGAGAAGUGGUGUUUAAAACUUUUUAUAAAGAAUACGGCAUAUGUGGCACUUAA